This 253-nucleotide ribosomal RNA is filed under the name uncultured bacterium. Its description in RNAcentral is "partial 16S ribosomal RNA". It matches the Rfam family "Bacterial small subunit ribosomal RNA", at positions 524 to 776 of the family's 1533-position model. The record is from RNAcentral.
UACAGAGGGUGCGAGCGUUGUCCGGAAUCACUGGGCGUAAAGGGCGCGUAGGUGGCUGGGUAAGUGUGCGGUGAAAGCCCGGGGCUCAACCCCGGGUCGGCCGUGCAGACUGCUUGGCUCGAGCAUAGUAGAGGCAGGUGGAAUUCCGGGUGUAGCGGUGGAAUGCGUAGAGAUCCGGAAGAACACCGGUGGCGAAGGCGGCCUGCUGGGCUAUUGCUGACACUGAGGCGCGACAGCGUGGGGAGCAAACAGG